Molecule: ribosomal RNA, 449 nt
Filed under: uncultured bacterium
Lineage: Bacteria
Description: bacterial SSU rRNA
Rfam family: Bacterial small subunit ribosomal RNA
Source: RNAcentral
AGCGAACGCUGGCGGCAGGCUUAACACAUGCAAGUCGAGCGGGCGUAGCAAUACGUCAGCGGCAGACGGGUGAGUAACGCGUGGGAACAUACCUUUUGGUUCGGAACAACACAGGGAAACUUGUGCUAAUACCGGAUAAGCCCUUACGGGGAAAGAUUUAUCGCCGAAAGAUUGGCCCGCGUCUGAUUAGCUAGUUGGUGAGGUAACGGCUCACCAAGGCGACGAUCAGUAGCNGGUCUGAGAGGAUGAUCAGCCACACUGGGACUGAGACACGGCCCAGACUCCUACGGGAGGCAGCAGUGGGGAAUAUUGGACAAUGGGGGAAACCCUGAUCCAGCCAUGCCGCGUGAGUGAUGAAGGCCUUAGGGUUGUAAAGCUCUUUCGGCGGGGAAGAUAAUGACGGUACCCGCAUAAGAAGCCCCGGCUAACUUCGUGCCAGCAGCCGCGGU